Molecule: ribosomal RNA, 497 nt
Filed under: uncultured bacterium
Lineage: Bacteria
Description: partial 16S ribosomal RNA
Rfam family: Bacterial small subunit ribosomal RNA
Source: RNAcentral
GAUGAACGCUGGCGGCGUGCCUAAUACAUGCAAGUCGAGCGAACAGACGAGGAGCUUGCUCCUCUGACGUUAGCGGCGGACGGGUGAGUAACACGUGGAUAACCUACCUAUAAGACUGGGAUAACUUCGGGAAACCGGAUCUAAUACCGGAUAAGAUAUUGAACCGCAUGGUUCAAUAGUGAAAGACGGUUUUGCUGUCACUUAUAGAUGGAUCCGCGCCGCAUUAGCUAGUUGGUAAGGUAACGGCUUACCAAGGCGACGAUGCGUAGCCGACCUGAGAGGGUGAUCGGCCACACUGGAACUGAGACACGGUCCAGACUCCUACGGGAGGCAGCAGUAGGGAAUCUUCCGCAAUGGGCGAAAGCUUGACGGAGCAACGCCGCGUGAGUGAUGAAGGUCUUCGGAUCGUAAAGCUCUGUUAUUAGGGAAGAACAAAUGUGUAAGUAAAUAUGCACGUCUUGACGGUACCUAAUCAGAAAGCCACGGCUAACUACGUG